This 403-nucleotide ribosomal RNA is filed under the name uncultured bacterium. Its description in RNAcentral is "bacterial SSU rRNA". It matches the Rfam family "Bacterial small subunit ribosomal RNA", at positions 355 to 774 of the family's 1533-position model. The record is from RNAcentral.
UAGGGAAUAUUGCAAAAUGGGCGAAAGCCCGAUGCAGCAACGCCGCGUGGGCGAUGAAGGCCUUCGGGUCGUAAAGCCCUUUUUGAGGGGAUGAGGAAGGACAGUACCCUCAGAAUAAGCCUCGGCUAACUACGUGCCAGCAGCCGCGGUAAAACGUAGGAGGCGAGCGUUAUCCGGAUUUACUGGGCGUAAAGCGCGUGCAGGCGGAUUGGAGAGUUGGAUGUGAAAGCUCCCGGCUUAACUGGGAGAGGUCGUUCAAUACUUCCAGUCUUGAGUGCGGUAGAGGGCAGCGGAAUUCCGGGUGUCGUGGUGAAAUGCGUAGAUAUCCGGAGGAACACCAGUGGCGAAAGCGGCUUCCUGGACUGUAACUGACGCUCAGACGCGAAAGCUAGGGUAGCAAACG